RNAcentral lists this long non-coding RNA (234 nucleotides) under Panax ginseng (ginseng). RNAcentral describes it as "long non-coding RNA (PGIN_LNC018721)". Lineage: Eukaryota; Viridiplantae; Streptophyta; Magnoliopsida; Apiales; Araliaceae. The record is from RNAcentral.
UCCCAUUCCCCCUUUUCUAGCAGUUCCACUCAAGACAGUAGUUGCCUUUGAACUACCUUCUUCUGCAUUGGGAACAGAUAAAAGCGGCAUCAUGCAAGGGCUGUUCAAACUGAAGGUUGUUGGGGAUGCCGAUACUUGCAUGGGAUCAGGAUCUUGAAAUUGUGACAAAAAGCUACCAUUUCCAUUUGAAUCUUUGGCUGCCAAUUCUUCCCCAUAAUUUUUCCAUAUAUUUCG